Molecule: small nuclear RNA, 169 nt
Organism: Cavia aperea (Brazilian guinea pig)
Lineage: Eukaryota; Metazoa; Chordata; Mammalia; Rodentia; Caviidae
Gene: U1
Rfam family: U1 spliceosomal RNA
About the family: U1 is a small nuclear RNA (snRNA) component of the spliceosome (involved in pre-mRNA splicing).
Source: Ensembl
AUGCUUAUCUAACAGGGGAGAUACCAUGACCAGGGCGGAGGUGGUUUCCCAACGGAAGGCUCUACCCAUUGCACCCCGGAGAUGCUGAUCCCUGUGAUUUCCCCAAAUGCAGGAAACCCGACUGCAUAAUUUGUGGUAAUAGCGGACAGUGUUCUGAAAUGUUUCCUUC